This 342-nucleotide ribosomal RNA is filed under the name uncultured soil bacterium. Its description in RNAcentral is "bacterial SSU rRNA". It matches the Rfam family "Bacterial small subunit ribosomal RNA", at positions 26 to 394 of the family's 1533-position model. The record is from RNAcentral.
AGAACGAACGCUGGCGGCAUGCCUAAUACAUGCAAGUCGAACGAACUCUUCGGAGUUAGUGGCGCACGGGUGCGUAACGCGUGGGAAUCUGCCCCUUGGUUCGGAAUAACAGUUGGAAACGACUGCUAAUACCGGAUGAUGACGAAAGUCCAAAGAUUUAUCGCCAAGGGAUGAGCCCGCGUAGGAUUAGCUAGUUGGUGAGGUAAAGGCUCACAAGGCAACGAUCCUUAGCUGGUCUGAGAGGAUGAUCAGCCACACUGGGACUGAGACACGGCCCAGCUCCGUAGGGAGCAGCAGUAGGGAAUAUUGGACAAGUGGGACGAAAGCCUAGAGUCCAGACAA